RNAcentral lists this non-coding RNA (119 nucleotides) under Streptomycetaceae bacterium MP113-05. RNAcentral's name for it is "SAM (S-adenosyl methionine) riboswitch aptamer". It matches the Rfam family "SAM (S-adenosyl methionine) riboswitch aptamer". From Rfam's summary of the family: SAM-IV is a mRNA element that regulates gene expression via direct sensing of S-adenosylmethionine (SAM or AdoMet). SAM-IV riboswitches share conserved nucleotide positions with the previously described SAM-I riboswitches sequence analysis and molecular recognition experiments suggest that SAM-I and SAM-IV riboswitches share similar ligand binding sites, but have different scaffolds. Lineage: Bacteria; Bacillati; Actinomycetota; Actinomycetes; Kitasatosporales; Streptomycetaceae. The record is from Rfam by way of RNAcentral. RNAcentral also lists the same sequence under 1 other name.
GGUCACGAGUGACAGCGACGAAGGCCCCGGCCCGCUGUCCGGCAACCCUCCUUCCGUGGCGGGGUGCCCCGGGUGAUGACCGGGUCGCGGACGCGCAAGGUCCGCGGCAAGCGCGGAUC